Molecule: small RNA, 60 nt
Filed under: Escherichia coli
Lineage: Bacteria; Pseudomonadati; Pseudomonadota; Gammaproteobacteria; Enterobacterales; Enterobacteriaceae
Description: partial RtT sRNA
Rfam family: RtT RNA
About the family: This family represents a bacterial cis-regulatory element known as RtT RNA. The exact function of RtT is unknown although it is thought that it may be involved in changing the cellular response in relation to amino acid starvation.
Source: RNAcentral
ACGUUGCGCCAGCAACGGCCCGUAGGGCGAGCGAAGCGAGUCAUCCUGCACGACCCACCA